AUAAACACAACGAUGAACUUAUAUUAGGUGGAAGAUAGAUAUCA
RNAcentral lists this non-coding RNA (44 nucleotides) under Trypanosoma brucei brucei. Lineage: Eukaryota; Euglenozoa; Kinetoplastea; Trypanosomatida; Trypanosomatidae. The record is from RNAcentral.